AGUGAACGCUGGCGGCAGGCCUAACACAUGCAAGUCGAGCGGCAGCGCGUCCGACCACCCUCGGGUGGUCGGAUGGCGGCGAGCGGCGGACGGGUGAGGAAUGCAUCGGAAUCUGCCUCGUUGUGGGGGAUAACGUAGGGAAACUUACGCUAAUACCGCAUACGACCUACGGGUGAAAGUGGGGGACCUUCGGGCCUCACGCGAUGAGAUGAGCCGAUGCCGGAUUAGCUAGUUGGCGGGGGUAAAGGCCCGACCAAGGCGACGAUCCGUAGCUGGUCUGAGAGGAUGAUCAGCCACACUGGAACUGAGACACGGUCCAGACUCCUACGGGAGGCAGCAGUGGGGAAUAUUGGACAAUGGGGGGCAACCCUGAUCCAGCCAUGCCGCGUGUGUGAAGAAGGCCUUCGGUUGU
This 412-nucleotide ribosomal RNA is filed under the name uncultured bacterium. RNAcentral's name for it is "bacterial SSU rRNA". It matches the Rfam family "Bacterial small subunit ribosomal RNA", at positions 30 to 426 of the family's 1533-position model. The record is from RNAcentral.